RNAcentral lists this ribosomal RNA (492 nucleotides) under uncultured bacterium. RNAcentral's name for it is "partial 16S ribosomal RNA". It matches the Rfam family "Bacterial small subunit ribosomal RNA", at positions 29 to 507 of the family's 1533-position model. The record is from RNAcentral.
AGUGAACGCUGGCGGUAGGCCUAACACAUGCAAGUCGAACGGCAGCACAGUAAGAGCUUGCUCUUACGGGUGGCGAGUGGCGGACGGGUGAGGAAUACAUCGGAAUCUACUUUUUCGUGGGGGAUAACGUAGGGAAACUUACGCUAAUACCGCAUACGACCUACGGGUGAAAGCAGGGGAUCUUUGGACCUUGCGCGAUUGAAUGAGCCGAUGUCGGAUUAGCUAGUUGGCGGGGUAAAGGCCCACCAAGGCGACGAUCCGUAGCUGGUCUGAGAGGAUGAUCAGCCACACUGGAACUGAGACACGGUCCAGACUACUACGGGAGGCAGCAGUGGGGAAUAUUGGACAAUGGGCGCAAGCCUGAUCCAGCCAUACCGCGUGGGUGAAGAAGGCCUUCGGGUUGUAAAGCCCUUUUGUUGGGAAAGAAAAGCAGCAGGUUAAUACCCCGCUGUUCUGACGGUACCCAAAGAAUAAGCACCGGCUAACUUCGUG